AGCGGACUUGUAGGAAGCUUGCUCCUGCAGGUUAGCGGCGGACGGGUGAGUAACACGUGGGCAACCUACCUAUAAGACUGGGAUAACUUCGGGAAACCGGAGCUAAUACCGGAUGACACAAAGGAACUCCUGUUCCUUUGUUGAAAGAUGGCUUCGGCUAUCACUUAUAGAUGGGCCCGCGGCGCAUUAGCUAGUUGGUGAGGUAACGGCUCACCAAGGCGACGAUGCGUAGCCGACCUGAGAGGGUGAUCGGCCACACUGGGACUGAGACACGGCCCAGACUCCUACGGGAGGCAGCAGUAGGGAAUCUUCCGCAAUGGACGAAAGUCUGACGGAGCAACGCCGCGUGAACGAUGAAGGCCUUCGGGUCGUAAAGUUCUGUUGUUAGGGAAGAACAAGUGCUAGUUAAAUAAGCUGGCACCUUGACGGUACCUAACCAGAAAGCCACGGCUAACUACGUGCCAGCAGCCGCGGUAAUACGUAGGUGGCAAGCGUUGUCCGGAAUUAUUGGGCGUAAAGCGCGCGCAGGCGGUUUCUUAAGUCUGAUGUGAAAGCCCCCGGCUCAACCGGGGAGGGUCAUUGGAAACUGGGAAACUUGAGUGCAGAAGAGGAAAGUGGAAUUCCAUGUGUAGCGGUGAAAUGCGUAGAGAUUUGGAGGAACACCAGUGGCGAAAGGCGACUUUCUGGUCUGUAACUGACGC
RNAcentral lists this ribosomal RNA (701 nucleotides) under Bacillus sp. L-9-188. RNAcentral's name for it is "bacterial SSU rRNA". It matches the Rfam family "Bacterial small subunit ribosomal RNA", at positions 65 to 746 of the family's 1533-position model. The record is from RNAcentral. Lineage: Bacteria; Bacillati; Bacillota; Bacilli; Caryophanales; Bacillaceae.